AUGGGCCUCGUCCCCCUGAAGGCAGAGCUGGAGCAGGAGGCACAUUUGCCGCUGUUCCCUCGCUGCAGGAUGGAACAGAGACCCCCGAUCCAACCCCGAGAGGCCUGGCCAGAGAGGCCUAGGGCAUCCCGUGCCCCCAGGCCCCAGCAGGGGCCGUUGAACUCAGCUGAGGGUCCUUCUCCCUCCGUCAUGUCACCGAAGGAGGAGGAUUACCUGAGCUGCAUCCGCGCCUACUGCACGUGCACACUGCAGUCUCAGGAAGAGGCUCAGAAGCUGAACUUUCUGGCCUGCGUCCGUGCCGCCUGCGAAGCCGCCCUCGAGGGCAGCGAGGCUCACGACCAGCUGUGUGCCUGCGCGUCCAAGGUGGCGCAGUGCAUUGAGACGCUGCUGCAGAAGGAGCCCGCCAAGCGCCUGGACACGGAGCUGCGGCAGCAGGCCAUGAGUGCCAUCGCCGCCAUGAGCGCUGCGCAGCUGCUUCCAGAGAAGCAGAAGAGCAGCCUCCUGUACGCCUGCAUCAGCAGCGUCCUUCACCUCCCUCGCCACGAGGACACAAAGGACCCGGACACUGCACUCUACGUGGAGACCAUGGAAGCCCUGCACCGCCUGCUGCAGGGGCUGGUGGGCAGCGCCGGCGCCUCUGUCCUCAUGGAGCUGCAGAACAUCUUGGAGGUCUGUCUGGGGCAAGGCUGGGAUUUGCGCAGGUGGUUUGAGGCUGUGAAGGGGGGAAGCCACAAAAGGCCCCCCAAGGGCCUGCUGAAGGGAGAGGGUGCUGGCCCGAGGCUGGCCCUUGCUGGGUUAGAAGGAAGGGUGGGGAGCAGUGGAAAGGCGGCGGGGCUGCAGCAGGACA
RNAcentral lists this long non-coding RNA (847 nucleotides) under Phasianus colchicus (ring-necked pheasant). Its description in RNAcentral is "lncRNA (ENSPCLG00000007559.1)". Lineage: Eukaryota; Metazoa; Chordata; Aves; Galliformes; Phasianidae. The record is from RNAcentral.